CUCCAGGUGUCUCCUCGCACGCGAGAGAAUCGAACGUCAAAAAAACUUACGAAAAAAACCAACGAAAAAAAGUCGACGACUCGCACGCAAGGGCGAGCGAGCGAGGCCUCCCCCUCGAUCCCCAACCAGGUCACAGAUCCCUUUGCCCCUGCCCUCGCACUCGCAUCAAGCCGCCGCCUCCAGAGCGUCCUCGAUCCUUGCGCUACCUCCCUUCUCCGCCGGCGAUCUCUUUGCAAAUGCUGAUCCGCUUCAUGGCCGCCACCGCUCCUUCUCGUCUAUACAGCGACUGCCGGUCUCCACCACCAACGCCAUAUCAUUUCCUCAUCGUUCUGGAGCGGCGACACGCAGGUGAUGGCGACCUAUGUAGGCACCCAUAAUUCGUGGAAGAGAACCCACAGCAACUACAGAAGAAAAGAAGUUGGGAUCUGAGAGAUCUGGAGAGCUUAGUGUAAAAGUAAAUCAGGCAAGCCCUUUUCCUCUGAAGAAGUUAUAUUGAGACAAACGAAUGCCCUGCUGUCCAAUCACUUGCCACCAAAGAUUGUUGAAGUAGUGUGCCGCAAGCUGACUCCCUUACAGAUGACACUGUACAACCACUUCACACACUCCAAAAAUGUUAAGCGCUUGAUAUCUGAAGAAGCAAAGAGUACUAAAGUUUUGGCAUAUAUUACUGCCCUUAAGAAAUUAUGCAACCAUCCGAAGAACUUAUUAUGCCCACGACCACUGCCAUGGACUUUGUGGCCAGCCUGCUUAUCCUUGAUGUGGCUACAAUGCGCGAACCAGUGUUCGACUUUGAACGCCGACAUGGAUGGCGGCCUCAAGUGCUACACCAUCUUCUUGGAUAUGUGGAGAGGCUUUUUGCACUGCAGUUCAAGACAUACUGUAGAUUACAUGGCUAAAGAAAAUUAUUUACGAUUAAUAAAUCAUGUUCUUGCUAAAUUAUUAAGUGUUCAAGCAUGCCUACUAUGAUCCCGUGCUUCCUCUUUGUGUAUGGCUUGCUGUGAAAAUACUAAACAUAACAUGUGCUUGAUUAAUUCAGUAUACUACUUCUCUUAAGAAGGUUAGGGUCAACGAGGAAGCACAUAACUGUGUUUGAUGCAUUCUUCAGGUUGAGGGUCUGAUAAUGGACUUAACACAACUGCUGGAGAGAGAUUAAAAUAUUGAAUAUGGUAGCAGAGGAGGAAACUGAAGUUGGUAGAUUAAUAGAGCGAGAGUUCCAGACCCAGGUUACUCCAAGAACAAGUGCAUUAUAUUUCUGUGUAUCCAGUAGCUUAUGCAGCCCAUAAUUACUUUACCAACAGAUUCAUGAUUGGGAGAAGUAGCUAAAGGUUAGAAUUGCAGCAUCUGAGCGUGUCCAUUAUCCAGCAGACUAUAAAAGGUCAUAAGUUUUGAUUGUGUGCCCAUUUAUGUGCACAUGGGUAAAAGAUCCUUGGACAUUUUUAUUUUUUUAGAUCUCUGGAGCACCUUGAGGUAGCAAUCCAGCCUACAAUGUCACAUUUUCAAGUGAUGCAGAGAAACAAGACAAAUAACUACGAAGUAGUAGAUCAUAGAAAGGACUGGUGUCAAUUGAUCAGUCAUAGUCAAAGAAUGAUAUGGAAAUUAAACUAAGCACGACAUGUCGGAAUAAUAGCAGAACCAGAGCAAGAGAAAAAAGUUGAUUAGCAGGUCGACAGUGAUGCCUGCUAAGAGAGAAUCCACACGUCCAUCCUUUUGCCACUGCUGAAGCCCCACAUCCUCGAUCUCGACACGCUUGCCUGCCAUCCUGGCCAACGUCCUCGCUAUGGCCCCCAAGCCACGCAACCACCUCGCCAGCUGUUGCUAGAGCCGAGCGCGUUGGCAGACUCCGCACCCAAGGUAAUACUUUCAGUCACGCUU
Aegilops tauschii subsp. strangulata is the source of this 1872-nucleotide non-coding RNA. The record is from RefSeq and is a predicted model, not a curated record. Lineage: Eukaryota; Viridiplantae; Streptophyta; Magnoliopsida; Poales; Poaceae.